This 1338-nucleotide unclassified non-coding RNA is filed under the name Leishmania donovani. RNAcentral describes it as "gene:unknown". Lineage: Eukaryota; Euglenozoa; Kinetoplastea; Trypanosomatida; Trypanosomatidae. The record is from RNAcentral.
UGACUGUAUUCGCCCUGAGCGCCGGUCGAAGGGGGUGGGGGGACGAUGAGGUGGGCUGCCAGUGCCCCACUUUUGUCUACUUCCUUGCCCCCCCCCUCCUGUGCUUCAAAGCACAGACACAGACGGACCAAACAGCCUGCCACUCCACGCACAGCGACAAUGGGGCACGAACGCAGGCAGCGUCGUUGCGAUAGCUCUGCCGAAACGGUACACGCAUCUCUCGAGCGGGCUUCGUCGCGCAUUCGAGUCGCAUGGCGCUCUGAAAGAUCGCAGAGGUGAUGAGGUACACCAGAGCGUGCAGGAAAGGCUUUUUAGGCUUUCUUUGCCGUAUGGAAGAUGCCAAACACGACGGCCUUAUUUUUUUUGUUGUUCGGCCGCCUGUGAGUACCCCGCCAGCCCCGCUCACGGGAGGACUUCUCGGUGCGUCGCAUGCUCAGGGCCCAGCACCCUCCCCCUUCUAUUUCCUGCCAAUGCGGAACCACUUGUGGUGGUGACAUGGCCCGGGCACCCAAGCCGGAGGGAGGUCAGAGCGAUUCAUAGCAACUGAUAUCGGCGGCCAGGUCCUGGGUGGCGCUGCGUGAGAGCGAGCGGCGACGGUGAGCACACGCUUGCACUAUACCGAUGAAGGGCAGAGCAUCGGGGUGACGCGAACGCAUGCCACCCGACCCUCACGCUGCCUGCUGAUGUGGGGACCGGCGCGACGCCGAGAGGGACGCAGCAAGUGGCGACCGGCGUCGUGAGAGCUGCUGUGAGGCGACCUGAGGGGUGGGGGCGCGGUGGGACGGGCGGGUGGGUGGCGUUUGAGGCCGAGGCCGUGCUGAGAUGACUGGGUCGGCGCAUUGCUGUAACACGCGUGUGCCGACGGCUGCUUUUGCACCACGCGGAUGGGGCCUGCGACAGGCUGAGGGUGGAGUUGAAUGGAGCUUAAGUAGUGUUCUGUGGCGAAAUAGGCAUGUUGAAAACGAGAAACGAGCACCGUAAUUGUCUCGCUGAGCUCAUGCGCACCGAAGCCGCUUUAGCCUUCCGUGUUGUCUGUGCGUUAUCCCGCGUCUCGCUGCCCUUGUUCCUCUCAACAGCGGCCUUCGCCUCAGCUUCUUGCCGGAUUCUUUCUCGUGUCCUUUACACUGCGCGGCAGCGCGGCCGAAGCACACGCAGCACUGUGCGUUCUCCCCCCAUGGCUGCAUUCUUUGAGAAGAGGAGCCUUGCGGAAUCCGUGCAGGGCUGUCCGCGCCGCCUGCCAUUUUUUGCCAACUCGAUUCCAGUUUUCUUCGAAAUCUGCGUGACGUCGUCGCACCACUGCUCUCUGAACAUCUCCACACCCUCUCUUGUCAAACUCAG